CAGGGAAUAGUUUAAAUAGAAUUUCAGCUUUGGGUGUUGAAGGUGAGGCUUAUGCUUCUUCCUUGAA
Molecule: transfer RNA, 67 nt
Filed under: Mirza coquereli (Coquerel's mouse lemur)
Lineage: Eukaryota; Metazoa; Chordata; Mammalia; Primates; Cheirogaleidae
Description: tRNA-Pro
Source: RNAcentral